This 885-nucleotide ribosomal RNA is filed under the name Ophioceras thailandense. Its description in RNAcentral is "Ophioceras JY-2022a partial large subunit ribosomal RNA". It matches the Rfam family "Eukaryotic large subunit ribosomal RNA", at positions 38 to 952 of the family's 3401-position model. Lineage: Eukaryota; Fungi; Ascomycota; Sordariomycetes; Magnaporthales; Ophioceraceae. The record is from RNAcentral.
GCAUAUCAAUAAGCGGAGGAAAAGAAACCAACAGGGAUUGCCUCAGUAACGGCGAGUGAAGCGGCAACAGCUCAAAUUUGAAAUCUGGCCUUCGGGUCCGAGUUGUAAUUUGCAGAGGAUGCUUCGGGCGAGGCUUCGAUCGAGUCCCCUGGAAUGGGGCGCCACAGAGGGUGAGAGCCCCGUAUGAUCAGCCGCCGAACCCGUGUGAAGCUCCUUCGACGAGUCGAGUAGUUUGGGAAUGCUGCUCUAAAUGGGAGGUAAAUUUCUUCUAAAGCUAAAUACCGGCCAGAGACCGAUAGCGCACAAGUAGAGUGAUCGAAAGAUGAAAAGCACUUUGAAAAGAGAGUUAAAAAGCACGUGAAAUUGUUGAAAGGGAAGCGCCUAUGACCAGACUCGGGCUCUUGGGAUCAUCCGCCCUUCUGGGCGGUGUACUCCCUCGUUCUCGGGCCAGCAUCGGUUCUCCUCGGGGGAUAAAGGCGCCAGGAACGUGGCUCCCUUCGGGGAGUGUUAUAGCCUGGCGCGUCAUGCUCCGGGGGGGACCGAGGACCGCGCUUCGGCAUGGAUGCUGGCGUAAUGGUCACCGGCGACCCGUCUUGAAACACGGACCAAGGAGUCAAGCAUUAGGGCGAGUGUACGGGUGUAAAACCCGAACGCGCAGUGAAAGCGAACGCUGGUGAGAGCUUCGGCGCAUCACCGACCGAUCCUGAAGUCUUCGGAUGGAUUUGAGUAGGAGCCUUAACGCUUGGACCCGAAAGAUGGUGAACUAUGCCUGAAUAGGGUGAAGCCAGAGGAAACUCUGGUGGAGGCUCGCAGCGGUUCUGACGUGCAAAUCGAUCGUCAAAUUUGGGCAUAGGGGCGAAAGACUAAUCGAACCAUCUAGUAGCU